UUAAUUGAAGAGUUUGAUCAUGGCUCAGAUUGAACGCUGGCGGCAGGCCUAACACAUGCAAGUCGGGCGGUAACAGGGAGAAGCUUGCUUCUCCGCUGACGAGCGGCGGACGGGUGAGUAAUGUAUGGGGAUCUGCCUGAUGGCGGGGGAUAACUACUGGAAACGGUAGCUAAUACCGCAUAAUGUCUACGGACCAAAGCGGGGGACCUCCGGGCCUCGCGCCAUCAGAUGAACCCAUAUGGGAUUAGCUAGUAGGUAAGGUAACGGCUUACCUAGGCGACGAUCCCUAGCUGGUCUGAGAGGAUGAUCAGCCACA
This 316-nucleotide ribosomal RNA is filed under the name Morganella morganii. RNAcentral's name for it is "bacterial SSU rRNA". It matches the Rfam family "Bacterial small subunit ribosomal RNA", at positions 1 to 312 of the family's 1533-position model. The record is from RNAcentral. Lineage: Bacteria; Pseudomonadati; Pseudomonadota; Gammaproteobacteria; Enterobacterales; Morganellaceae.